This 243-nucleotide ribosomal RNA is filed under the name uncultured bacterium. RNAcentral's name for it is "partial 16S ribosomal RNA". It matches the Rfam family "Bacterial small subunit ribosomal RNA", at positions 90 to 334 of the family's 1533-position model. The record is from RNAcentral.
CGUGAGCGGCGGACGGGUGAGUAACGCGUGGGUAACCUGCCUCAUACAGGGGAUAACAGUUAGAAAUGACUGCUAAUACCGCAUAAGACCACGGUACCGCAUGGUACAGUGGUAAAAACUCCGGUGGUAUGAGAUGGACCCGCGUCUGAUUAGGUAGUUGGUGGGGUAACGGCCUACCAAGCCGACGAUCAGUAGCCGACCUGAGAGGGUGACCGGCCACAUUGGGACUGAGACACGGCCCAG